RNAcentral lists this ribosomal RNA (194 nucleotides) under uncultured bacterium. RNAcentral describes it as "partial 16S ribosomal RNA". It matches the Rfam family "Bacterial small subunit ribosomal RNA", at positions 338 to 524 of the family's 1533-position model. The record is from RNAcentral.
CCUACGGGAGGCAGCAGUAGGGAAUAUUGGACAAUGGGGGCAACCCUGAUCCAGCCAUGCCGCGUGUGUGAAGAAGGCUUUCGGGUUGUAAAGCACUUUCAGUGGGGAGGAAAUGGCAGCGGAUAAUACCCGCGGUCUAUGACGUUACCCACAGAAGAAGGACCGGCUAACUCCGUGCCAGCAGCCGCGGUAAU